UACGAAGGGGGCUAGCGUUGUUCGGAAUCACUGGGCGUAAAGGGCGCGUAGGCGGCUUUAUAAGUCUGGGGUGAAAGCCUGUGGCUCAACCACAGAAUUGCCUUCGAUACUGUAGAGCUUGAGACCGGAAGAGGUAAGUGGAACUGCGAGUGUAGAGGUGAAAUUCGUAGAUAUUCGCAAGAACACCAGUGGCGAAGGCGGCUUACUGGUCCGGUUCUGACGCUGAGGCGCGAAAGCGUGGGGAGCAAACAGG
This 253-nucleotide ribosomal RNA is filed under the name uncultured bacterium. RNAcentral's name for it is "partial 16S ribosomal RNA". It matches the Rfam family "Bacterial small subunit ribosomal RNA", at positions 524 to 776 of the family's 1533-position model. The record is from RNAcentral.